Molecule: non-coding RNA, 101 nt
Filed under: Otolemur garnettii (small-eared galago)
Lineage: Eukaryota; Metazoa; Chordata; Mammalia; Primates; Galagidae
Source: RNAcentral
GGCUGGUUAAAUACAGUGGUGUUUAUAACUAAUUGAUCACAACCAGUUACAGAUUUCUUUGUUGCUUCUCUACUCUCAUUGCUUCAUUUCGCCACCUUUAA